GGUCCAAAACUAAGUAAUUUGGCUUUCUGUUCACUAUAGAAGAAAGUGCUACAGAGGUCUAGAAUUAGCCUCAACGAGCUAACUUGUGUGACAGCUACAAAUUUGUGUUUCUAGGAUUCCACCUCAAGUAAAUACUUGUUAAGCGUGUGCAUUUUUUGUAGUGAUGAUGGAGUCAAAAUGACUGCUUUGCUUCUACUAUGUGUAUCUUGGAGCUGGAUUUUUCUGUGGAGUCUGUGGAAGCUUGUUACCAUGUUAAAUGCCCAGCUUGCUUUAAAUCCAAAUCUGAAGGUCACGUGAAUUUUUAGCCCACCCAGCUUGACUGAGCAUUUCUGUCUGGAAGCAUCUUGGGAACAGCUUUCUUCUGAGGAAGAAUCUCUUAGGAGCACAUUCUUCACCCAGACUCUGCUGAACUCACUGGUUUCUUGAGGAGACAGCUGUGCUUCCAUGAGUCAAUGCCCACAGCAACCCCCUGUUUGAGAUCCAGGAGUGAUCCUUCACCACAGGAAUAAGGCAGACUUCGGCAACAGCUGCUGAAAUGCCAAGAUCACACGUUUCCAGCACCCUGCCCUGCCAGUGGUGGGAGGAAACUCCAGUUUAUGUUAAUAAGGUGUGGAGGGUGGCCAAAAUAUUUUGAGUUUUCCGGCUCGAAAAGGUAAUGAAGCUACCUCUGUCUCGGUACACUGGCAUGGGAGCAAACUAAACAACUGGGAAACGUGUUUCAAAGGAAAAAUACAGAGCACAAACUCCCUGGGUUUCACACUUCCACUGAGGGCUGAGCUUUGCCUCUUUCCACCUUUUUUCCAGGCUGGCUGCUCCCCUUCUCACAAAAAGAGGGAUGGAUGGGGGAGGGUGAGAGGGCUGCUUCUACGGAUUAGCUUCAGGCAGCUCUCUCCAGACUGAAAGUUACACUUGAAAGCAUUUCUUAGUUUAUACCAAAAUAAUGAAUUGUUUAGUAUGUAAAGUAAACCCAGAAAGUUAUUCCCAUAAAUCUGGUUUAAAAUCUACCUAUUUAUUAGCUCUGAGCAAAAGAAACCUCCACACUGCUGUGAGCAUGGUCAGAUUCUUUGGGCUCGCUUCAAAAGCUCGCUCUUUUUGUCCUUCCUCUCUGACCUCCUCCCUGCUAGUCCCAGGAUGAAAAGCAAGCCAAAGAUCUGCUGAGAAAUGGGCCGAGCCACUGCUGACCUUUGCAAAUCCAAUUUCUUCAAAGCGAGAGCUAAUCGACGUGUUCCCACGCUGUGUAUUGCUGAAACGUACGAUGCAAUUCAAGGAAUGAAUUCACCAUGGUGCAAUCUCAUUUUGAAUCCAGUUUUCUUGCUAUGUGUCAGAGGGUGAAGGAGGCAGAGUGUGGUACAAGUUAUAAACAGCAGUCACACACAAGUUUCACAAACCACAUGUCUGUCUUUGAAAGAUUUUGUACUUCGGAAGUGCUCUUUCCCUUAAAAUUGAAAAUGCAUUAACGUGUCCUGUCCCCCCCCCACCCCAUUCUACCUUCCCCCCACCUCAAAACCAGAGAGGCAUUUUGUAGUGAUUUAAAAGAAAAAUAAGCCAAUGAGGGUUUGUACUGAAAAAUCUCCAAAUAGAAAAAAAAAAAUAUCUCUGGAGCUAUUAUCUGAUGUGUAACUGAGGUGCCUCUCUGGGGAGAUUUGUGUGCACAGGAGAUGUAGGUAAAUGGGAGGGUGAUACAGGAAGAGCUUUAAAAUUAAUAUUUAAAAUGCAGAUUCUCUCUCUCACUUUGCAUAUCAGAUUUGGUAUGAGUGUUAUUCCUGUUUUACAGCAGUGAGAGCAGUCCCCUCUCUGCGAAGUUUUGCAAUCUCUGCUAGGUACCAUAGGUGUGCCUGCAGAAUCCAUGCAGGAAAAGCAUAUUGGCAUUCCUAAGCUAAAUCUUAUAAUCUUGUUUCAACAGGUGCGUGGAGACUGGCCCCCUCCCUCUGUUUUCCAGAAGGAGCUGCUGUUUGUUUUCUGCACAGCUGGCCAAGCCUGGCCUGACCCCAGCAGCCCGUAGCCUGAUACACCCAACGUGAGCGAGUAGCAAUGCACUGAAGCCUGCUUACGUGCCCCAAGUGGUGCCUGUUUGUGUAAUGCUGUCACUUUUUGUCUGGGGCAAAAGGGAUGGGAGAGGACUCUCAUUGCUCAUUUAACUGCUGUGGAACAUAUGUCAGGGGUAGCACAUCUCAAGCCAUUUCGUCAGCGCCAGAGAGAGGAGCUAUGUCAUUCCCAGUGUGGGGCUGGGUUCAGUGUGCCUCUCCUGGGAGGUCACCUCUCCAGCUGGGAAGCCGUGGCAUGGCAGACAGCCACCAGGCUGCUCCACAUUUGGUGCCUUACACAAACCUCCCAGCGUACGGCACAUCCUGCCGGUUUGGUCGUAUAGCAGAACCAGAGAUAUUGCGACCUAUUUAUUCAUUUCACUGUCGACUUUAUUGCACAAGUGUAAUUCCAUUAGAGCUGAUGUAAUGGAGAAUCAGGCCCUUGGGCUAAACUAUGCUCUGGCUGUGUAAGCUGAAGACUUUCAGAGGAAGCCUCAAUGCUCUCAUUUUCUAGCUGUCCUUAGCAAGGCAAAUGAAAAUAUAUCAUUGUUCUCAAGAUUGCUGAAUGAAGCAAGUCCUUCUUAAAAUUUUAUUUCCAUGACCAUGAAUAGUAAAUUUCAUCCAUUCAUGACUGGUUUAUAAAAGAGUUUGCUAAUUAACCAGAUGUGGAGUACUUUCUUUCUCAGCAAGUAUUGCAAUAAGAGAAUUGUUUGUGUUUUUAUUACUUUCUCAAUAUUUUUGUUAUUCUCUUUCCCCAAGACACGAUUAGAUUUUCCAGUCUUCUGGACAUCAAAGAUCUUGGAGAAAAUAUUGUAUAAACUGGAUAGGUAACAGCUGUUACCAGAUGGAUUUAGUGGUGGAAAGGGGAGAGGGCUAAUUUGUUUUAUGUGCUUCCUCCCACUGCUGGCACCUUUCACUGUGGCACACUGUUCCUGUCCUGUGACAGGGAAUAUCUUUGCACAGAGGGAGCCCUUGUCCACAGGAUUACACCUACCUUUGGGUUUUGCUGCUGUUUAUAAGUAACUUUUUCAAAUGUCUUCAUCAUAGCUCUUUUACCCAGUAGUUUAUUAGAGAGAAAAGAAUAGGAGAGAAGGCCUAACUGUGCUAGUUAAUAGCACUGCUGACACAUUGUCAUUUCUGACCUUUUCAAGUCAAAAGUUUUGUUUGCUCCACUUCUGGAUAUAUCAGGACACUUUAAAUUGGAUUUAUUUCUGUAUAAUUAAAAAAUGUACAGUGAAUUCCCCGAGAAAGGUCACACAGGACUGAAGCAGAGUUUCAGCUUGAAUAAAAACUGCUGUAUCUCUGCUGCACCCUCUCAUUUAACAUGGGAAUGAACAUUUGCAUAAAUACUCUUUAUUUCCUCAUCUGAUGUAAAAUUUCUUGUGUUCCUCUUUUAGAUUAUUCACUGUUUAGGAAAGAUCUUGGAGGGAAAAUGGUGAUUUGUAGUAUUGCGAAGUAUUAGAUGGUAAAACAGAUUGUGUACGUGUAUAACAACAGGAUUUUUGCCUAUUACUAUGCCAGCAAUAUCUGAUCCCAUUCAGAUAACAGUAAAGCAACCCUUCUCCUCUUUCUUAUUUUAGGUUUGAUCUACUUGCUUUCACAUUUGCAUGUUGUGUUUUUAAGUACCAACCCUCACGUUCUUCAAGCUUCAGCAAAAGGCAGCACUUUCAAAAUAUAUUGCCUGUAAAAAAGGUCCUAUGAAUAUUCUAAGACAUCCAAUCUGAUCUAAAAAUUUAAGAGGGGCUGGCGGCCUCUUAAUCUAGUUACCUCCUUCCUGAGGUAGCAUAAAUUAAUACUUUUGCUCCUUCCCUGCUCUGAGCAACAUCAGAAGCCAUUGCCAUUGCAGGAGAGGAGACUCUGCCUUCACCCAGUCCGUGAGGAUCCUCAGACCUUUGCAAAAAUGCUCAGAUUCUCACAGAGUUUGAGCCUUUUCUGAAAGCUGGCCUGGGGGCAUUGGGCACCUCAUCUGGAAGAACACCACUGGAGCAGAUAGUCCAUGUCAAAGGCAGCUGGCCUGCUGUCAAAAGAAUGCAUCCUGGCUGGAGAAGGACAGAACAGAAGCCAUGUCCG
Phalacrocorax carbo (great cormorant) is the source of this 4094-nucleotide non-coding RNA. Lineage: Eukaryota; Metazoa; Chordata; Aves; Suliformes; Phalacrocoracidae. The record is from RefSeq and is a predicted model, not a curated record.